AACGAACGCUGGCGGCAUGCCUAACACAUGCAAGUCGAACGAGACCUUCGGGUCUAGUGGCGCACGGGUGCGUAACGCGUGGGAACCUGCCUUUAGGUUCGGAAUAACUCAGAGAAAUUUGAGCUAAUACCGGAUGAUGUCUUCGGACCAAAGAUUUAUCGCCUUUAGAUGGGCCCGCGUUGGAUUAGCUAGUUGGUGGGGUAAAGGCCUACCAAGGCGACGAUCCAUAGCUGGUCUGAGAGGAUGAUCAGCCACACUGGGACUGAGACACGGCCCAGACUCCUACGGGAGGCAGCAGUGGGGAAUAUUGGACAAGGGGCGAAAGCCUGAUACAGCAAUGCCGCGUGAGUGAUGAAGGCCUUAGGGUUGUAAAGCUCUUUUAACCGAGAUGAUAAUGACAGUAUCGGGAGAAUAAGCGCCGGCUAACUCCGUG
This 433-nucleotide ribosomal RNA is filed under the name uncultured bacterium. RNAcentral describes it as "partial 16S ribosomal RNA". It matches the Rfam family "Bacterial small subunit ribosomal RNA", at positions 29 to 507 of the family's 1533-position model. The record is from RNAcentral.